UUUCAGGACUGUUUCAUCACCUCUACAACAGGUAUUCUCAAAUGUUGGGGCUUUGGGAGCUGUGGUUUUCUGCACUUUCAAACCACUCACAAUAUCAUUCAGAGUUUUAACACUGUUUUUGUUCAAGGUUGACUAAAGUACAGUCAGUUUUAUUGUUUUUUCUCUGGAUGUGCUACUUCCUGUUGCGUAGACUUAUCCAAUCAUAUUUCAGGCUCAUGUGUUGCCAGGUGGAAAGAAUCUGCCAUGAGGUGUUUAGAAUCAGUAGCGCAUGUGCUGGAAGCCUAAAAUGAUUGGCAAUGAGAUUGUUUGUUUUUGACCAAUCAGAUUUUGGGUUGGCAUCAGAGUUACGUUGGCAAUUUGAUAUGAUUGGAUGGUCAGAGAGCAAAUUCUCUUUUAACAAACUGCCCCUGGCAACUUGUACGCGCGAAAGUGAAGGUUUCUGCGUGUCCGCCGUACAGCGGACAUUAUCAACCUGAAGCGAAUUAAAACUUAUGCCUUAUUGCGACAGGACAGACUUGACUUUUGAGCAUUAGGAAGGUUCAAAGGACAUGUUAGAACUGGAACGCACAAAUAAUCUGUACAACAGAGUCAUUGAACUCUUCUUAGGAAAGAGAGGAGGGCGGGUUUUGUGUGCAACAACUUAUCAGAAGUUUUGAACAUCUCCAUGAGCACCUCCUCUAUGUUGACGGUGCCAAUGACGGGUCUGAAGAAGAGCUGGGCCACCACCAGAGGGCUGAUGGACCUCAGCAUGGACAGGGCUAUGAGAAGCUUAGCGAAGCGUGUUGUGUCCUCGCGGUGAAUCAGCCGGAUGUGUUCUUUCAGAGCCUGGUGAGCCUCACGACGCAGUGACUGGAUGUAGUGCAGACAGCGGAGACCCUCCAGAUCUGACUCAACCGCAGGAGGAGGGGAACAAGGAGGAAAAUGCAGGAGAUAAAUUAGAGAGGCAAUAGUCCAUGGUCAAUGAUGACAGCUGUCCCUGUCCAUCCAUGUCGCACAAGACAUUUCAAAAGGGAGAUCAAUCUGGACUGCAGGCAGGCCAGCAGCAUACGUUUCCUGGAGGCUGAUCAUACACAAAUGAAACUCUGAAGUUGCCAUGACCCAAGAAGACAGCUCUUUGGCAAAUUCAGCUGGAGACCUUGAGAGACAAGUGUAGAGAAAAACAAAAGGAUUUCUUUCCCUUUUUUCUUUACCCAACACUUGGGGCCACAGACACUCCAAGGCAGGUCUCAGAAACUUAAGAGGACAACUUUGUAUGAUUCAAGGCUUUGCAUUAAAUGGCUUCUCUGGAAAAAGUCUUGUAGCGCAUUGUUUGUUGAUUUGUUGGGCGCUCUCCUGGCGGUUACCAUGGUGACUGCCUCCAUUUUCUCUCUGUGGCUGCUCACAUAAAAGGACGACGUCCUUGCCUCCUUAAUAGUUACAAAUUGAAUACUGCACUUUCCAAGGACUUGUGUUGCAACUUACAGCAGAGUGAAAGUGUGUGUGUGAGAGAGACACCGCGUCGCAAGUGUCUUUCACUUAUUAUGAAGAUUAAUUUUCAAAGCUUUCAUAUUCAGGACAUUUUGACUCAAUGGUGUCAAUUUUAGAAACAUCUGGGUUUUAGGGAUGAGGUGAGAAUUGAGUUGGUGUCGGGCCAAGGGGUUUCUUACAUUUGCUAAAAGACAGGAGUGUGUGUGAGGUAUGAAUUUACUCUUUGGUUACCCACCUUUGUCCUUCCAGAUGUUGAUUGUGUUUCAGUAAUUAUAAACUCUGUGUGCUUCAGGUCGGUAUCUAAAGAAAGUUUACACUAGAUGUCCUUGCAGCAGAUGAAACAAAGAAAAAGGUGAAGGACUUUUUUUCCAUGCCUAAUUUAUUAUAACAUUAUAGUCCCUUUUACUUUAGCCACAUGAGAGAAGAAAGACCAAACACACAAGAACAAGGGUCUCAAACUCCAGACCCAGGGCCCACCUCCAGCCCAUGAGCCCCCAUCAUCAGGCCCAUUACUAGAUGUGUAUAAAAAUUUUCUUUUAUAUUAUUAUUUAAUUUUCUUUUUUCACCUAUAUGGUGCUUGAUCGUUUAAUUAUUAAAAAUAUACCUUUUGUACUACUUGUUUGCACUUUAGUAUUAUCCAGGUGGAUUUUUUUAAACCCAAACUACCUUUUCUUAUCAUUUUUGUUUCGUAUUUAUUUAUUUUUUAUUAAACAUCAAGGGUUAGGGUUAGUCAGGGUUUGUUAUGGUUAGGGUUAGCUGCCUCAGAAAGAAGUGGAGUUGGACAUUACCUUUGUGAAGUUUUAGUUAAUACAGAGUUGUAUGGUGCUUUGGCACAGUUUGGCAAAAUCUGUACUGUAAAAGCUGAGAUUUUUCCUUUUUUUUAAUGAAUGACAGAAAACUAUAAUCCUUCAUUUGCAUGUCCAAACAGCUACUUAAUGAAUUAAUCGAAUUAUUUGAUUAACCACACAUUAUAUUAACACAAUAACUAUGGCUUCCAUACUGUAGAACUUAAAAUCUCAUUUGAAACCCAUGAACCGAGAGAAUCGCAUUGAUGUCAACAAUUCAUGUCAAGUGCUCCAGUCACCAUUUCUAAAGAGGUAAAAUCAUCUGACCCAGAAUGACUGAAAAUUAGUUUGUUCCAGUGAAGAUGCACCGAUCCCAAAACUUAAUUAAAAUACUAUUAUUUGUACUAAUCCAAAAGUAGUUACAUCGAGGGCAACUGAACUCCAGUUUCCCUGGAGUUAUGCAAUUUUUAUUAAAAGUACAUUUUGAGACAAUUUAAAUCUGGAUAUUUCAAGGAUUUUUGCCAGGACAAGCUACUAAUUUAUAAACUUUUAUGUGAUUAAAAAUGUUCUAUGUUAAAAUAAUAAUUAAUGAUGUCCAAGCUGAGAAAAGCUGUGUGAAUAGAAGCAUGUGUGUCAAAAAGAAAGAA
Molecule: long non-coding RNA, 2899 nt
Organism: Cynoglossus semilaevis (tongue sole)
Lineage: Eukaryota; Metazoa; Chordata; Actinopteri; Pleuronectiformes; Cynoglossidae
Exons: 4
Source: RefSeq, a predicted model, not a curated record